Molecule: ribosomal RNA, 736 nt
Filed under: uncultured bacterium
Lineage: Bacteria
Description: bacterial SSU rRNA
Rfam family: Bacterial small subunit ribosomal RNA
Source: RNAcentral
UAACGNGUGGGCAACCUGCCCUCCAGUUGGGGACAACAUUCCGAAAGGGAUGCUAAUACCGAAUGUGCUCCCUCCUCCGCAUGGAGGAGGGAGGAAAGAUGGCCUCUGCUUGCAAGCUAUCGCUGGAAGAUGGGCCCGCGUCUGAUUAGCUAGUUGGUGGGGUAACGGCUCACCAAGGCGAUGAUCAGUAGCCGGUCUGAGAGGAUGAACGGCCACAUUGGGACUGAGACACGGCCCAAACUCCUACGGGAGGCAGCAGUGGGGAAUCUUCCGCAAUGGACGAAAGUCUGACGGAGCAACGCCGCGUGAGUGAUGAAGGUCUUCGGAUUGUAAAACUCUGUUGUUAGGGACGAAAGCACCGUGUUCGAACAGGUCAUGGUGUUGACGGUACCUAACGAGGAAGCCACGGCUAACUACGUGCCAGCAGCCGCGGUAAUACGUANGUGGCAAGCGUUGUCCGGAAUUAUUGGGCGUAAAGAGCAUGUAGGCGGGCUUUUAAGUCUGACGUGAAAAUGCGGGGCUUAACCCCGUAUGGNGNUGGAUACUGGAAGUCUUGAGUGCAGGAGAGGAAAGGGGAAUUCCCAGUGUAGCGGUGAAAUGCGUAGAUAUUGGGGAGGAACACCAGUGGCGAAGGCGCCUUUCUGGACUGUGUCUGACGCUGAGAUGCGAAAGCCAGGGUAGCANACGGGAUUAGAUACCCCGGUAGUCCUGGCCGUAAACGAUGGAUACUAGGUGU